This 553-nucleotide long non-coding RNA is filed under the name Medicago truncatula (barrel medic). Its description in RNAcentral is "lncRNA gene9596". The record is from RNAcentral. Lineage: Eukaryota; Viridiplantae; Streptophyta; Magnoliopsida; Fabales; Fabaceae.
AUAUUUAAUACUAUAUAUAUUUUCAUUAAAAUCAUAUAAGAAUACAAAUCCAUAACUCCAUGAUCUUUAAAAAUAGGAAAGGAAAAAUAACUAAUUAUUAGGUGUCAACAAACUUAUUAAAUCACAUACCAUGAUAAUUUUAUCAUAAACAAUUUUUAAUUGAUCUUUUUCUAGUGCAAGAAAUCAUUCGUUUGAGCAAGACUUUUGUGCACUCUCUUUGUACUUGCACUCCAAAGAGUUUUUGAAAGAUUUAAAGGAAAACAAUUACAUUUGUAAUCGCGACAUUCCGCAAUCCGAGGAAGCACAUACUUAAUUUUGUUUUUACAGUCAUCAUGAUUCUCACAAUCGAAAAAUGCUGUAAGAGAAAAAGAGAACAUUAGAAUGUUAUGUUACUAAACGGGGAUAUGAGAUUAUGUUAGACGUAAAGAAAAAAGUUUUAAAUGAAUGAAAAAUGAUUUACCUUGAACAUUUAUAACAAGAAAUAGAGAAAUAAAGUAGAUCAAAACAUAAAAUAACUUCAUAAUUAUGAUAUUAUUAUAAACAGAAAAGGAUU